GAAGAAUAGAGGGAAAGAAGGAAGAAAUCUCAGUCAAGGAGAAAGAAUAAUUUAGAGGGAAAGAAGAGAGAUAGAGAGAGAGAAAAGAGCAGAAAGAAACUUGGAAUUCUGGAAUUCUGGAAUUCUGGAAGAACCCCAUUGAUCUGCUCCGGAUCGCAACUCCAGCAGCGAGGAUUGGAAGCAAACCCAGCUCAAAAUCGGGUGCACACUUAGUAAAAUAGAGGGAAAUGGAGAGAAAAAGAGAGAGAUGAGAAAAGAGAUAUAUUGGAUGAGAAAAUAAAUAGAUUGGAUGAGAAGAGAAGCGAAUAUUCAGAGAUGAGAAAAACAUAUUCUUGUUUAUUGAUUCUUGGA
RNAcentral lists this unclassified non-coding RNA (351 nucleotides) under Hevea brasiliensis (rubber tree). Lineage: Eukaryota; Viridiplantae; Streptophyta; Magnoliopsida; Malpighiales; Euphorbiaceae. The record is from RNAcentral.